ACAGCCUUGAUCAGUUAUUUAUUAUUCUGAUUAAUGUUUGCUACAGCAAUAGUGCUACGUGACAACAGCUGAGAUUCAGGUCCUGUUGUAUACAAGGACUGAUAUAAAUGAACAAUAAGAAACAGACUUUGCACUAAAUGAAUUAUGAAUUGAGUAGAGAACACAGGUGAAAAAGUAUAGAGACUUCCAAAGCUGGCAAUAUAAUCUUUAUGGGUCGUGGACUUGUUUAACUCCCUGUGUAUAGAAACAUCAGAACAUUUACCUGUUUUUCCAAUGGAAAUGAUCAUUCACCCAUCUCUAUUUUUUUUUUCAUUGUAAAAAAGAAGUCCCAAAAGAAAAUGCAGUAGUUGGAAAACUGAUGCCAAUAAAAAUUCCAUGUUCAUUUCAAGCACAUUUAUACUACUACCAUGUUGACGUCAGCUAAGAAGCUUGUUUUUGGCUCUGUCAUAGAGAGUGGAAAAUAUGCUUAUGCACAGCAGUGUGAUUAGGGAACAUCAGCUGGCUCGUUUAGUUUUCUGCAUUUGAAUGGGUUGAAUUACGCCCACUACACUACUGAUACUUUGGACUAGAACCUGGCUCAUUACAAAAGGAGCCCAGGAUGGCUAGCUUCAAUGGAGAUGUCCAAAUUGAAUGUCAACCCCACGUGAUGAACCCCAUUCUCCUCUCCUUAACACCUGUCAUGUGGUGGCUUCCCACCAGAAAUCCAAUCACCUACCAACAGAAGCACUGACAGCAUGGAUGUCUCAGGGAAGAGGCUUUGCUCCGUAGAUGACAUUUUCUCCCUGUUGACUAUUUGCAAACAAACUUUCUCGCAGAGAGUCGGGGCACAGAGGACAAAAAGCGUUUUGAGCAGCUGAGUGGCGGCAGAAGUGCAGUAGAGGGAGGAAGGAAUGGGAAAGCACUGGAACAGUUGGCCUUGAUUCCGUCACUAUCCAGCAAUUGGAGCCAUGCACUAAGAAGGAACAGAACAUCAUCACAUGUAGCCAGCUGGGUGCUGUCUCAGAAAGUCAAUCUGCAGAGGAAUAACUGGAGCCCUAUCCCAGAUCCCUAGCGAUUAAGCAAAUGUCCCUUCACCAUUUCCUUAGCAUUAACUGAGGAGAGAAAUCUCUAUGAAGAGAUUAUGGAGCCUGAACCAUAGCAUGGUGCUAUCUGCGUACGUGAGUGAUGGACUUGGAAAGUAAGAAAUGGAUUUGGUU
RNAcentral lists this long non-coding RNA (1196 nucleotides) under Numida meleagris (helmeted guineafowl). RNAcentral describes it as "lncRNA (ENSNMEG00000004981.1)". The record is from RNAcentral. Lineage: Eukaryota; Metazoa; Chordata; Aves; Galliformes; Numididae.